This 267-nucleotide unclassified non-coding RNA is filed under the name uncultured fungus. RNAcentral's name for it is "sequence contains 5.8S rRNA gene". Lineage: Eukaryota; Fungi. The record is from RNAcentral.
GAACGCAUAUUGCGCCCGCCCGUAUUCUGGCGGGCAUGCCUGUUCGAGCGUCAUUUCAACCCUCAAGCCCCCCCGGGGGCUUGGUGUUGGGGACCGGCCCCGCCUCGUCGCGGGUCGCCGCCCCCUAAAUGCAGUGGCGGUCUCGUCGCAGCCUUCGAUGCGUAGUAAAUCAUAACCUCGCACCGGAGCGCGGCUCGGCCACGCCGUUAAACCCCAACUUCUGAAAGGUUGACCUCGGAUCAGGUAGGAAUACCCGCUGAACUUAAG